ACGUGGAGCCAUCCUUGAAAUACCACCCUGGUUUGUUUGCGGUUCUAACCUUGGUCCGUUAUCCGGAUCGGGGACAGUGCAUGGUGGGCAGUUUGACUGGGGCGGUCUCCUCCCAAAGUGUAACGGAGGAGUUCGAAGGUACGCUAGGUACGGUCGGAAAUCGUGCUGAUAGUGCAAUGGCAUAAGCGUGCUUGACUGUGAGACUGACAAGUCGAACAGGUGCGAAAGCAGGACAUAGUGAUCCGGUGGUUCUGAAUGGAAGGGCCAUCGCUCAACGGAUAAAAGGUACUCUGGGGAUAACAGGCUGAUACCGCCCAAGAGUUCAUAUCGACGGCGGUGUUUGGCACCUCGAUGUCGGCUCAUCUCAUCCUGGGGCUGUAGCCGGUCCCAAGGGUAUGGCUGUUCGCCAUUUAAAGAGGUACGUGAGCUGGGUUUAAAACGUCGUGAGACAGUUUGGUCCCUAUCUGCCGUGGGCGUUGGAUACUUGACGGAGCCUGCUCCUAGUACGAGAGGACCGGAGUGGACGUACCUCUGGUGUACCGGUUGUCAUGCCAAUGGCAUUGCCGGGUAGCUAAGUACGGAAGAGAUAACCGCUGAAGGCAUCUAAGCGGGAAACUCGUCUGAAGAUAAGGUAUCCCGGGGACUUGAUCCCCCUGAAGGGUCGUUCGAGACCAGGACGUUGAUAGGUCGGGUGUGGAAGCGCAGUAAUGCGUUAAGCUAACCGAUACUAAUUGCCCGUGAGGCUUGAUCCU
RNAcentral lists this ribosomal RNA (752 nucleotides) under Achromobacter aegrifaciens. RNAcentral describes it as "partial 23S ribosomal RNA". It matches the Rfam family "Bacterial large subunit ribosomal RNA", at positions 2178 to 2925 of the family's 2925-position model. The record is from RNAcentral. RNAcentral also lists the same sequence under 1 other name. Lineage: Bacteria; Pseudomonadati; Pseudomonadota; Betaproteobacteria; Burkholderiales; Alcaligenaceae.